CGGUGCCUCGUCCCUGUGGGCUGCACCCGAUCUAACGAACAAGAGCUCUGAAAACAUCUAGCUCGCUCUCUCAACAUUUUAAAAGCAACAAGCCAAAAGCAAAAAAAGUCAUGGACGCCACUAAGAUCAUCGUUAUUUGCCUAUUGUGCAUCAUGGCCUUCGAAUCUGUCACAGCAAGGCCACACCGCAGGCGACGAGAUAUUGAAAUUGACACCGAUGGCGGCAUUCACACCUUUGAUGCUGCCGAAGAGAGUUCAGAAGACAUCGUCGGGAUUGAAAGAGAUGGACCAGUUUUAAGCCGGCGAAAGCGAAGCACGAUUGCCUUUAUGAUGGAUGCCUACCGACGACACUGCUUGCACAACCCCAGCGCCUGCCGAGACACCACGAGACGGCGCGGAGGCAGACGGCACUACAGUCGCAGGAGGCACGGUUACCUCAUCAUUGACAUGUAAAUUAUUAUAAUUUAUUCAAAAAUCACGUCAUCUUGAUCAAGAAACACGCCAUUUGAUGUCCAAAGUCCACUUUAUAUCGGCGAUCCGGAUUUUAUCACAAUUCGUGCGGAGGAAGAUCUGACUCAUUUAAAACUCCGUUCUCUGCCGACAAUACAUCGUCAAUUUCGACGAUUCCGAUUCAAGCCGACGCCACCUAACAUCGUUGUUUCCAAACCGAGCUUAGGCUGCAGAAGUUUAAAAGUGGGCUUUCAUCAACAACGGAACAUAAGAAUCAUGAAGCAAACAUGCUCUUCAUUUGUCGUUUUCUAACGUUCCAAUACUCCAUCGGUCACAGUUUAGCUUAUUGGACAUCAGUCAGGAUAUGUUCCGAGAAGUUUCAAAAGUAUCAGCAUCCCUCAUCAAAAAGGGACAUACCAUAGAUAUUGAGAACUAGGUUUGCGGAUACCAUGUUGUUUCAGUAAGUGCAGACAACAGAUGCACGACCGAUUAGGAGUAAUUACCUAGGGUAAUUGGCAUCAUAAGACCGCACUCUCACUGCUAGUGUGGUCUAAAUGAUCCUUUAAGCAGUGGUGAAAAACUGAUUGAACAGAGUCAGACGGGCGGUGGGAUCGUUUACCAAUCCAUGUUGCUAAAUAUACGAAACCGGCAUAUUACCUGUGUCUGUGGUAAUUUCAACUCAAAAACCUCUGUUGAACUGCGUUGUACGAAAUAAAAAACGACUUUAUUCUUACAAUUCAUAAAGUUGAGUAAUCGUCAAAGUGACAGAAAUGACAUCAUGCCUCUCUCACAACAAUGCAAUUCCCCAGUGACAAUCAGCGCCACCUGGCGGUGGUCGUAGUUCUACUGGUACCCUAAGAAAGUACAGGAGACCUAAAGUUGGUAAAGAAAACCGUCUGAGAUUUCUCGAGUUCGAGACAGAAACAAGAAUUUAUGUUUUUGUUCCCAGACAUAUUUUUCUGCUCCUAGACCUAAUCAAUCAAAGCAAGAACAAGAGUACACAUCGCAACAAAAUUGUGGUUACAGAUGAGCCCCGGAAUGAAAACAUCGAAACGGAACGAGAUAUAUAACCAGCGAGAUGCACUCAAACUGAAGUCGAUAUCUUAUAGCAAAAAUGGAAAUUCGGAAUUAUGGAUGGCACGAGUACAACCUCUCAGUUGGACAACGACAACGUUGUCAACGACUAACUUCCAUUUAAAGAGACCCUUUUAUUCCGACGAUUUCUAUUUAAUUUCAACCAUUUUCGUUGCGUUUCGUUUCAUUUUGGGUUUUAGCAGUAUCCACAAACUUGGUUUGAUAAAGUCUUGAUCAAAGCUACCAAAUAUAUCUAGAAGCCAAUAUCGUUGGUAGUCUUUAUAAAGCAAAAACCUGUUCGUUUGAUUCUGUUCAGUCUUGUGAUCUGUAAUUAAACAUAUUCUUAUUUAUUUGUGUGUUAGAAGAUGUUAAUGUUGUUAAUUAUGCCUAAAAUGCAAAUCAUGGGGUCGGUGCCUUUUCAUGGUGAAAACGUGUGGAUACAGGCAGCUUUUCUACCAAAAACUCUACGUUACAUAGAGUUUGCCAGUCAGCGAAACGUCUCUAUUUCUAUUUCAACGCAUUUUGCUGACUUUUGCAAAGAUUCAUGAUUCUUCAAAUACGUUUUAAAAUUGUAUUACCCGAUUAAAGGGACUUCCAUCUGUUGAUUUCGGCGGGGGGAGGGGGGAUUUUACCUAUUGCAGAAUUGCUCUAGAGGUCGAGGUGAGACGACGAGUACAUAUACUUUGCUUGUAACAUCGUCCCUCGCCAUAUCUAGUCAUAACUGUAGAGCAUCUGUGCAAUGUUUGCGAUGACCAACAAACAUAUGGGAAGCUUUUGUGUGGAUGUUGAUAUUGAGGUCAUAUUAAAUGAUGCCUUUUAAUGUUGUUGCAUAAAAUGCAAGAGUUUUAGAUUAAGUAAGAAAUGUCUUACCUAUUAUCAUACGCACAUGGCCUUCAUUGAAUAAAUGUGGGGCUUUGAAUUCACGCACAGCGAGAUCGCACGAGAUGUCAAUCAGAUUGGCGCAAUAUUGAACAGGCAGCCAUCUUUUCAUGACAUCACGUGACGAUGUCAUCAAAUCAAAAAGUCCAUUAUUUGGGACACUCUGUCAACUCCUGAUCACUAUUUUGACUUCUGCCUGAUCAAAGUUUUACUUCGGAUUACUUGAAAGAUAACUAAGAUUAUAAGAUUGCGUCACAUGCAACGCUCUUUAUAAAAUUAGUCGUACUCUGUAUGGUCGGGGUAAUUCCAUAUUCCAUUGAUUAAGAAAUCAUCUGAUCAUGAAAUCAACAAAAAAUCUAUUUGAAUAUGAACGCAUGUUGAGUUAUUAUCUUAUGGAAAGUUUACUACAUUGUACUUUGUCAAUGAUGGUUAUUUUGGGUACGAAUGCGGCGAACAAAAUGGCCGCCAUUUGUCUCUGGUGGCCAUUUUGUUGGCAACUAUUUUGAAACCGUGCUAAGUAUAAAGAUGUGCCAGUAAAAAAUGUUACAGUCGAAUGCAUCUAGUAUUGUUCGGCAUUAGAUGAUAAGGCUGGGGUCUCUCUCAUCAUGGACGAUUAAAGAAAGGCCGUAUUUCCGGCGUAUUUUGUUGAUGUGUUGUUGAUGUGUAUUUGGUGAAUAGUGAAGUAUCGCAUUUUGAGUGUAUAAGUACAGCUUAUAUGUGUAUAGAUAGAUUAAAUGAUAUUGGUAUGUAUUGUCAAUUAAAGGUCAGUGACCUUUAUUAUAUUUUUGUCUGAAGUACCAUUGUCUCUGGCUUUACGCUAGAACCUAGCCACUGCAUCCAGGCGCAAAUGGUUCGCGAACUAUCUGCGGCUGAGUGCCCAACAUAGGCUAUAACAAUAUGGCCGGAUUGUGAAAUUAUCUGAGAGAAGGUAUCUGUGUCAUUGCUACAUCUCCUGUAAAUUCUUUCUCGUUUCUUUCAUCAGUGAAUCUCAUCUACUGUGACUUCAGUCAGGAGCCAUUACAACGCGCCAUGUCAUGAAUAAAUUAUCAUAAUGUAACAGGUGCUGCCACCUAGAAGAAUUGUCAUGCCCCCGAUUGUUCCACUUGUAUGCAGAAAGUGUCACAAUAACUUAUAACACACAAAAUGGAGCCCAAGAAUAGGUAUAUUGUUUGUAAUUGUAUGAUCAUAUUGCUGUUGUUAGCAACUUAGAAAAGAUAAGUAUACAUGUAGUUUGGUCUGAAGUCUGAACUGUCUAUUUUAGAUGAAUUGAAACCUGACGAAAAUCUGACAGUUCAGCUUUAAACCGCCGCUUACGCUGAGAACUGAGACCCACUGCAUGGAUGUAAUUGUCUCAAGUUAUCAUGGUUAAAAGGAACUACUUAUUUUCUAACGAAUUCGAACGGUUAUGAUAAAAUCCUGGUCAAUGUUGUAUGAAUAUGGAUGUAUUUGUUGUGAUAGACCAAGGCUGUAGAAUUGAUGGUUAGAAAAAGCAUUUAAAAUGUGUAUUUUCAUAAUUUCUUUCUGUACCUGGCAUCUUUUUGUGAUUGCAUACCUUCUUUUAUCAUAUGAUCAAACAACUAUCGUUCCAAACCAAAAUAACCCUUGAUUGAAUAUGGCACUGAAUAUCAUGAACUAAAAUUAAUGGCAACCUUGAAUAUUUCGCUAUCUACGAUUUAUAGAGUUUGAAGAAAAUAGAAAGAGACAAUAAUGACACGUUGAUGGUUAAUCGGAACUCAUCAAUUCGGAACUCUCGCCUGAGACAGCGAAAAGAAGGAAGACGGAAAUAUGUUUUGGCUUAUUUGUUUGGAACCAGCUAGCUAAAUGCAGCAUAAUAAAACCUACAAGUGAGGUAAACUUGCAGGUGAACUGGAGCAAGAUGUUAUAUUUUGUUCUUAAACCAAGGUCAAGGUCACAUGGAGAGGUCAAGGUCACGGUUGUCUGGCGAUAGACUUCUUUAGUACGUGGUGCCACAUUUUGACAGCGUCUAUUGCAUAAAAUGCAUGGUUUUACUCAAAACGGCGAAUUGUCUGAAUUUUAACAACAACAAUGUCUGUCACCUUACUUCUUGGCCAACUUCUCCAUUGAUCAGGUCAGUACAAACCAAGUGACGUUCACAUUUAGUGACGUCACAUUACAGCGAAAUAUUUAAGUGUAACGGUAGAUUGUCAUACUAACCUUGGUGAUCCCGAAAGUUGCAUCUUUGGUGAAUUUGUUAAUAAUUGUCUUUCUUCAGCCGCUUUUAUGCCGGACCUGUUGUGAUGGUUGCAUACCUAAAAUUAACUUAAACGGUGGCUCGGAUUUUGAGAAUUCUAAAGUUACUGCAAUAACGGUUAUGUUCGAGCCAGGCGGUGGCAACACAAUAAUUUUCCAGUUUGUACAAAAUCAGAGGAUAAUUUACAAAAUGUAACGCUGUUGGAUGUUGCUCGCCUACUGUUAUCUUCUCCUAAAUGCACCGGUGGUGUGAUAAUUGAUGUAAAUACAGCAAUGGACAGUUGUCUCAUCCAACCAUUUGUCUAUGUUCUGUUUGCUCAGAACUCUCGAUCGUCACCAUUGAUCCUCUUGUCCGAUAGGCCUCCACCAGCGGCUCGUACAAAGCCGAAGUUGCAGUAUUUGGUAAAGAAUUGGGAGUUCCAUGGGGAACUGCGUAUAGUUCUCAAUUUACAGCCACUUUGUUAGAGAAUUGGAUGUUCAUAAAGAGCAUGCUAUUUACUUUAUUCACGAGGUGAACAUUUUGUGUCAGUCAGAUAGCAUAUGGUCUCCGUAAAUACACUAUUUAUAUUUCGUAAAA
Lineus longissimus is the source of this 5190-nucleotide long non-coding RNA. RefSeq lists it as uncharacterized. Lineage: Eukaryota; Metazoa; Nemertea; Pilidiophora; Heteronemertea; Lineidae. The record is from RefSeq and is a predicted model, not a curated record. The transcript has 3 exons.